AACGUAGGUUCCGAGCGUUAUCCGGAUUUAUUGGGCGUAAAGAGCGUGUAGGCGGCCAGAUAAGUCCGCUGUGAAAUCUCGAGGCUCAACUUCGAGCUGUCGGUGGAAACUAUCUGGCUAGAGUCCGGAAGAGGAGAAUGGAAUUCCUGGUGUAGCGGUGAAAUGCGCAGAUAUCAGGAAGAACACCCGUGGCGAAGGCGGUUCUCUGGGACGGUACUGACGCUGAGACGCGAAAGCGUGGGGAGCGAACAGG
Molecule: ribosomal RNA, 253 nt
Filed under: uncultured bacterium
Lineage: Bacteria
Description: partial 16S ribosomal RNA
Rfam family: Bacterial small subunit ribosomal RNA
Source: RNAcentral